Molecule: long non-coding RNA, 566 nt
Organism: Podarcis raffonei (Aeolian wall lizard)
Lineage: Eukaryota; Metazoa; Chordata; Lepidosauria; Squamata; Lacertidae
Exons: 2
Source: RefSeq, a predicted model, not a curated record
UGAGGUUUACUUGCUGGUGGGAUCGCACCUGAAGGUGGAUGAAAUUCAGCUCUGAAGCAGGGGGAGGUCUGGCAAUGGACCUGGCGCGGCUGUUGGUGGUGGACGGAUUGCCGGAAGGUUUGCAUUCAGUGCCUGGUUGAUGCCGCAAGGCUACAAGACUGGCCGAGGGGAUGCAAACGGGUUUGGAAGCCUAGUUUGUUUAUUAACAGGCGGACAAACCGAGGAGGGAAGCUGCCCCUUUGGCGGCGGGGACAUCCAAUGCCGGCGAAGUUUUCCCCAAGACCAGACGGUGGCGGCAAGCUGGUAAGCGGAAGGAGGCAAUCGCCUGGUGUUGGGAUGCUGUGGAGCAAGAAGGCAAGGGGUCUGCGUUGACGCUGUCGGAUGGUGGCCACCCCACUCAUCUGUUUGCCUUUGCCUUUCAGGGAUAGCCGGAGAUGGCGAGGUUUCCCCCGAGACCAGCCGUGAAAGUCAUGAAGAGAACCACAGGACUUAAGCCAGACAGCUCCUGUUUUCUAAAUAAAUGGCUUUCUAAUUUUUAUUCAAAAUGAACGUUUUCUGAAAAGAAA